GUCCUUGUCGAUUAGUGGUUAGAUCAUCACGUUGUGGUUUAUGUUGACCUGAUCCGUGAAGACGGAGGCUCGAAUCCUCCCUGGGACA
RNAcentral lists this transfer RNA (88 nucleotides) under Wolfiporia cocos MD-104 SS10. RNAcentral describes it as "Wolfiporia cocos (strain MD-104) (brown rot fungus) tRNA". It matches the Rfam family "tRNA". From Rfam's summary of the family: Transfer RNA (tRNA) molecules are approximately 80 nucleotides in length. Their secondary structure includes four short double-helical elements and three loops (D, anti-codon, and T loops). The record is from Rfam by way of RNAcentral. Lineage: Eukaryota; Fungi; Basidiomycota; Agaricomycetes; Polyporales; Phaeolaceae.